Long non-coding RNA from Dicentrarchus labrax (European seabass), 547 nucleotides. RefSeq lists it as uncharacterized. The transcript has 3 exons. The record is from RefSeq and is a predicted model, not a curated record. NCBI's taxonomy places the organism in Eukaryota, Metazoa, Chordata, Actinopteri, Moronidae.
CCAGACACUCCCAUCAACAGCCACUGUCUGACCUGCUGGGUGAGGGUUUUAUUGUCCUGGAUUUGACUGUCAGAGAAGGGACUGAAGAAUGUAAUUGAGGAGUGGAUUCUUAACACAAAAAAAAAGAACAUGCACUUCAACAAAAGUGAGAGUGUAACGGCGUGCACAGUGGUGGCAAUCCAUAGACCGAGAGACAGUGGAUAGUACAGGAUGUAGAUCGGUGGGCUGAGUCACGGCUGCAUCACUGCACGCAAGGUUCAAGACAAGUCUGCCACCAGCUGGUUCAGGAAGAGGUAGGAGCAGAGAUGGAGGAGUUGAAGAGUUGGAUGAUGGAGGAGUGGCACCAAACUGAAUGUACAAGAGGAGGAGGAUCUCUUGGUCUGACAUGUAACUCCUCUACAGCUUAUGUCUUUCUACAGGUGCAAGACAAAGUGUUCCCCAGGACGAAGCGCCUCAAAAGAACAUCAUCUAGGUUUCAAGCAACAGAACAUUUAAAGAGAUGAAAUAUAAAAUCUGAAUGUAUGCUUCGAAUUCACAAAGAGAGAAA